Molecule: transfer RNA, 73 nt
Filed under: Cuniculiplasma divulgatum
Lineage: Archaea; Methanobacteriati; Thermoplasmatota; Thermoplasmata; Thermoplasmatales; Cuniculiplasmataceae
Also listed under: 4 other names
Description: tRNA-Asn
Rfam family: tRNA
About the family: Transfer RNA (tRNA) molecules are approximately 80 nucleotides in length. Their secondary structure includes four short double-helical elements and three loops (D, anti-codon, and T loops).
Source: RNAcentral
GCCGCUGUAGCUCAGCUGGUAGAGCACACGCCUGUUAAGCGUGCGGUCGUCGGUUCGAACCCGACCGGCGGCG